AUAAUACUUUUCACGUGUCGCCAAAGGGAUAGGACCAGAGGUAUGACAUGUAAGCAGUUUGAGUCCAGGUGAAGACGGUCCCUUGGUUUUGAAGAGAGGCUACAACUCCAAGCAGGAGGAAAGUGAGUUUGAAGCUCUAGAUGUGAGACCAAAGUUGUAGAAAGAAGUCAAAGAGGAAGUCCCUCAUGUGUGGUACGAGUUGGGCAGACGAUUAGAAGAAUUAAUAUAUUACAUGAGACACGGGGCUACUGAUAUUCUCUGGAUUGUUGAGACAUCGUUUAUUGCAGUGGAAUGUUACUCCUCCGUGUCAGCCUUCACCACUGACAAAAACGCAGGUUCAAAAGUUGGCCUAGCUGCUGUUGUCAUCUUUUAUGCUGCUACCCUCCUGCCGCUCACGUCGGCCGGGGUCUAAUGCUGCAGCUUCCGGAAAUCAUACAGACACCAUUACGACUGGUACCUCCCAGGAGCCUCUGCCUCAUUCACAUCUUUUAAAGUUACCAUGGACAUAAGACUAGCAGCCUUUUGUAAUCAAAAUGCCAAGAAAAUUCUGAACUUUCUUAGGAAAGUAAUGAGGACAAAGAAAAAAUAUGAUUUUUUCCUCAGGAAAAACUAUGCUGCAUGGACAACUGGAAUAUUGUAUGUAGACUAAUUGAUGACAUCUUUAGGAUAUUGGGAGAUGAAUGGAUUCUAAAGAAAGUCUUAUUCUAAAAAUAUAUCUUGACUAUUAUUGGAAGACAAGGAAAAUUAGGCUCAGAGAUCAAUGGGCUGAACCAAAAUUACAUAACAAGAAAAUGAUAGUGUGGAGAGUAAGAUCCAAAUCUCCUGGUUCCUUACUUACAGCUUUUAAAAAUAUAUAUAUAAAUCAUAUAAAACGGCUGGAGCAAAAGGCUGGAAAAUCUAGCUUAUAAGUUCAGGAUAAAAUAAUUAGACUUCUUCUAGUUUGGAACAACCUAAACUAAGAGGUAAUGGCCAAGAUUAUGAAAUAAUAUUGGGUUUGAUAGGAUAGGAUCAGAUACUGGACUGUGGGGCAUAAACUACUACCAAAGGGAAUGUUGUGAACAAAGGAAUAUAUAACUAGUCAAAUUUCCUUUACAGCUGUUCCCACAUCCCUGUUUUCUACUGCAGUGUCUUAUCCUUCUAGUUCCUGAUACUCAACCUGUCAUGCAACAUGAAUCUUGACAUGUCCCAGAGUCAUUUCCUGUUUUGGGCUUUACUAUUGACCUAAGACUUUAGUCUCAGAAUAGGGACCAAAGAUUUUACUGGCUUGCCUAGAUUGACUUUUCAGAACCUCUGGAUUCUUCAUUAUCUCCAAAUUCUAUCCUCAAUAGUAAAGGUCAAACAUUAAGUUUCAAAAUUCUAAGAUACAGGGGACAAAAGGGUACUCUGUGAAACCCAGAAAAGAUCAAUUUAGGUCAAUUUAAAGACCUUGCAAAUUUUAUUUGCUUUAUCAUUAUUCAUGUUAUAGAAAGCAAUUUUUGUACAUUACCGUGAAGACACAGUAAGAUACUAAGUGACUUCAUGUAGCUUUACUUAAAUAGCUCUGCAUGAACAAUCACAAGGAAUAAAAGUAAAAGAAAAAAAUUAAGAUGAAUAAUUCUAGAAGAAUUGCUAUGUGCCAGUCACCAUGCAAAUCACUUUCAUAUACAUCAUCUAAUUUAGUGUCAGCAAAUAUAUAAAAACAUUACUAUUCUUACUUUAUUAAUGAGGAAACUGAGGCUCGAAAGUUAAGUGACUAGUCUGAGAUCUACAGCAAGUUAUUCCUAAAUGAUGCAGGAAACAGAAUAUCUGGAAGGAUCCAGAACAGAGUGGAGUUGGAUGAAUGAUGUAAAGAAGAGAAGGCCAACAAAUAACCUAAAUAUAACAGUAUGAGGAUAUACAGACACUAGUGCUCAGAUGUUCUCCAUAUUUGUUGAUGUCAGAAAAGGGAAAUUAGCUAAGUUUAACUUAGGAUACUAGUGUCCAAUAGAAGGCUGGAUUUGCUAGCAGAUAGGUCUGCAAGAUACUAGAAUGAGUAACUAAGAGAUGUUGUAAACUCUUUACAUUCUCUCAAAGGAGUUACUUUAAAUAAUUUUUAGAAUGCUUUCUUUAUUUAUGAGGGAGAGAGAGAAAGAGACAGCAUGAGUGGGGGGAAGGACAGAGUGUGUGUGUGUGGGAACACAGAGGAACCAAAGCUGGCUCUACACUAAUGUCAGUGACUGUGGGCUCAAACUCACAAACCGUGAGAUCACGACCUGAGCUGAAGUCAGACGCUCAAUUGACUGUGCCACCUAGGUGCCCCAUCAAAAGGAGUUACUUUAGAUGUUCAUCUUUUUUCAGAAGAGAAGAUAUUUUACACAUGUGAUUAUAUGGAAUAUAUGGAUGUUCAUUCAACAAACAAUUUUUUUUAAUAAUAUGCUAGCUGCUAUGCUCAGUAGGUCUGUGGAUAGAUUGUUGAACAUGACAGAUUGGGCCUCAGUCCUCCCAUCAGAUAAUUCAAUAAGCAGUAAUCAUGAAGGGUGCAGGGAAACAAGUGGGGUGCUGAGGGAGUAUCUGAUCUAGCCUACUUUUAAUCAGGGUAUGCUUCCAAAAAAAGUUCUGUCUAAACUGAGACCUGAAGGAUGAAUAUUAUCCAGGAAGAGAAGAGCAGAAGUAUUUCAGAAUUAAAACCAAGUGCAACGUGGGAAUUGUGUGGCUUCUCACAAACCCUUCCAGGGGUGGAAUUUCGUAAAUCAGUCAAUUGCUUAGGUCCCUCAUGUUGUCAUAAUGUUCCUGAAAUCACUGCCUUCUUUAUGGUUUCUGGGUAAGCCACUGACACACUCUAAGUUUCCCAUGUGAUGAGUGAGAAUCUGGGGAGUGUCCCUCCAGUGUGCAAUGUGGAGCUGACGUAAACCCACGGGAGCGAGUGAUGAAAUGGGCAACUCGGGGUGUGGACUCAGAUGGCCUGGGUACAAGGACUGGCUGUGCCAGAUACUAACUUGAUGAUCCGAGAAAAAAAAUCCCUAAAACUCAGUAGCCAAAGAACAGUGACAUGAAGAUGAGCAGAGACGGAAUGCUAUUCCCUGACAACAAAAAUGAGGAAUUUCAUUCCAGCUAAGAGGAAAAUGUAUUCCUUUAAAUUGUUUUCAAACUUUAUUGGCAUCCCACUCCCCUGGGCUUGUUAAAACAGAUUGUUGCGCCCCAUCCCCAGAGGUGCCAAUCCAGGAGGUCUAGGGUGUUAAUUCUGGAGCAUUACCAUUUCUACCAAGUUCCCUGGUACACUGAUGCUGCUGGUUCAGGGAUUACACCUUAAGAACCGCCUUUGUAGAAAAUGUUGCCCAUUAACCAAUCUUCAGCUUGUUGCUUACUAAACCAGCAAAUCCAACUAUUUCUUCAGUUCCCAUUAGCUCUUCCUCUCAGGUAACCUCAACUACCAACAGAAAAUGCUGCAGUGUGAAGUUACAAGCAAGCACAUUGUUAACCAUUUUAAAAUGCCAACCUCUAUUCUAAGAGGCUAUUUUGGCUGAGGUCUUCCAUUUGGUCAUUUUUAGAGUAAAAUAAGUAAUGGAAUAUACCAUCAGAAGCUCCAAAGGAGUUAAAACUACUACUGAGUACAAGUGCUUAUUUUCAUUAAGAGCAAGGACGUCACUUAGGAUUAUUUUCUUGAGACUUUAAAUGCCAACAAAUGCAGCCGUAUUUGAAAGGGUAUCUUAUCCCCACCUUGGCUGCUUUUUAAUGUCAUAUGGCAAUUUCCACUUUCCACAAGGUGAGCAUUCACAAGCCUACAUUUCUUCACUAAAUUACUUUUUCUUUCUUGCACUUGUUUUUUCUUCCAUCCUGGAAGAGUGACUCCCAAAAAGAGUUACUUUUCAGAUGACACCAUUAAAAAGUAUGGGCAUAAAAAUCAAAACCUUAGGCAUAAAUCAUCAAUUGUUAAUUCUCCAUUUGAAACAAGUAUAUUCUCAACAUCAGUACAAUCCAUGUUGAUGCAACGUAGCGUUAGGAUAACAUCAAUGAAUGUAGGAAAGGACUGGGUCUGAAACCACAGUAUCUUCAUCCUUGCCUUUUCUAGUAGCUUCAAGUUGACCUGCAUCCUCCUAAAAUUUGGAAGAUGUGACUGAUGACCACACAUCAGAGAGAGGAUCAGUUGAGAGAUAUAGACAUAGCUUGACAUGUACUAUGUAGAAGAAGGUUAUCUCAUUGUACUCAGGAGGCCUUGAAGCAUUUUUACAGGCCAUGUAGGCAGAUUUGGAACUCUAACUCAGUACCCCAGGCUCCUAAUCAUACUGCCUUCUGAGUUUCUUAAGUGUCUCUCAAUACUUAUUUCAAUGUCUUUUGCUCUGCUUAACACCAUUUUCCAGGGCUUUCCUCUUUUUCCUGCCUUGCCCCACCUAAUAAUGUGAUUACCUUUAAUAACUGCUUCAAAACUUCAAAGGUUUUCAACCAUUUUUAUAGGGAACUCACAAAAUUUAACAGCUUUCAAGACCUAGUAAAAUUAAUCUUUAUUGGCCUGUAAGCCCUACGUAGAGCUUUCCUAAACUGUGCCUGUCAGCAAAUCAGUCUCUUACUUCAGAUCAUAUCUGACUUGAACCUGCAACUAUCUACUUUCCCAUUCUUCCAUUCUCAGUGCCCAACAGCCACCAGGGUUUCUAGACUUCUCUUCUGCUAUAAUAAACAGUGCACACUGUCUCUUGUCUCCAGGAGAUAAGACCGCAUGCUUCAACAACAAACUGUAACUGUUAUUCGAAGUGACUGUUCAAAGUGAGAAACUCUUCAUCAUGGACAAGGGGGAAGAUGAAGAAAACAUUCCAAGGAUUAAAGAAGACCUCAGCCCAGAGCAGGAGGACUAAUAUUAUAGCAAAGACUAUUUUCAGUGUGACUUGAUUAACCACUGAAGAGAGGAGCAAGUUUGGAGAGGAGCAUAGUAAUUCCUUAGUGCUUAGUUAAUUUGAGACCUCUAACAACUCCCAGAGUCAUGGUGGGUCACAUCCAUUUUAAUAGAAGUUUUUCCACUCACCUAGCUUCUUCUUCCCUAUAUUCACCUUGGGGUACACAUCAUGCAGACAUUGCUCUGAUGGAAUUAAAUGCCAUAUUUAGUGGUCAGUUAAGUCCACCAUACGCACUCACAAAGAGUGAUAUUCUAAUAAAUAUUUUUUUAGUAUACUUGACACACAAUGUUACAUUAGUUUCAAGUGUAUAGCAUUAGUGAUUCAACAAGUCUAUACUUCAUGCUGCGCUCACCACCAGUGUAGUUACCAUCUGUCCCAAUACAUCACUAUUACAAUAUCAUUGACUACAUUCCUUAUGCUGUGCCUUUUGGCCUUGUGACUUAUUUAUUCCAUAACUGGAAGCCUGUAUCUCCCACUCUCUUUCACCCGUUUUGCCCAUUCCCCCACCCCUAAUCAAUAAAUCCUGAUAAUGUAAUUUACUUAUUAUCGUAAUAGCCUUGGGUAUCCUUAAAGUUUAUUCAUUUAUCUUUUAGUAAUCUGUAUACCCAAUGUGGGGCUCGAACUCACAACCCCAAGAUCAAGAGUCACAUGCUCUUCUGACUGAGCCCGAGAGGAGCCAGAGAGGUGCCCUUAUCUUAAUAACAGCUUAAAAUCAGUAGUAAAUCAGUAACAAACAAAAACUUCUGGCCUUAUUUAUGGGAAAACCUGAAAUAAGUGUAACAAUGAACAAUUUACAAAGUUUGUCUUGCAUAUGCUACUCUAAUUGAUGUCCAUUACAAUCUAACACAUGAGAAGAGAUUAUUACUCCCAUUUUAAAGAUAGGAAAGUUUUAAUGAGUUACCCAAGCUCACACAUUUAGUUCAUGACAGGUAAAGGUAUUAAAAACAUGUGUCUUUUUUUGAGCUUUUAUGCUUACAAUAUGUACAAAACUAUUAGAAGCAUGAAGCUAAAAUGGCUAUAUUCUCUUGGUUUCCAUAACAAUAUAAUAUCUUUUUUUCUUCUUUUUAAUUUGAUAUUUUUUUAAUUUGAUAUUGUCUUCUCUGUAUCUUUACCACUUCAUCAUCCUGUGCUCAACUACUAAAUAUUGGAAUUCCUCAGAGUUCAGGCUUACCCUGUAUUCCCACCUCCCCUCGCACUGUGUGAAUUACUUCAUCCGUUCACGUGGAUUUAAAACUCUAUCUCUAUGCCAACAAUACAUGAGUACGUUAUUUCUACAAUAUUCUUCUGAGUCAAGAUGCAACUCUGUUCUUAAAACUCUACAUGGUAGUGCAAGUUUAAUGGGCCAAACGUUGAUCUCAACAGGUCUUAAUUCUGUCCGCUUCCCAACAUUCUCACCAUUAAUGUAGUCUAAAUCAGCAAUAGCAGCUCUUUUCAACUUGCUCCCUUGAGUCUAAUUAAAUGAAUGUAUAUAUAUUGUCUUUUAAAUGUCUUUUAAUGUCUUUUAAACAUGGAAAUUAGAUCAUGUCACUUAUACUCUGCUUAUGAUCUUUUGAUGGCUUCCUUUCAGCUGCUAGAAGACAAAUUAUUGACAUAAUUUAUAAGGUCCUUCUCUUAUUAGCUAUCAUCCAAAUCUUAUCUCAUGGCUCUUCCCUCCCUCCUUCACUCUACUUCUGCACAUUGGCCUUCCCUCAGUUGCUCUAAUGUGUCAGCCUCUUUAAUGCCUCAGAGCCUUUCUGCGUGCUCCCUUCCUGUGUUGCCCAGUCACUCACAUCUCAUCAUUCUUCAGUUUGCAGCUUAAGUGUCAUUUACGCAGAAUGGGCUGACUCUCCCGAUUUAAAUUAAGUCCUUAUUUUAUACACUUUCAAGCAUCCUAUUCUUAUCUUUACUAGUACUUAUCACAGUUUUAAAUUAUUUAAGUCUUAAUGUGAUUAUCUGUUUAUUUAAAAAAAAUCUUAGUAAGCUAUAACAUUCAUGGAAGCUCAUGGGCUCUCCUCUGCACAGUAUUCCUGGUGGAAUAUAUAUUGAUAUUAUUUAUAAUUGAACAAAUAAGUUGAACAAGAUUUUAUAACUUAUUUAAUACUGAGCUGGAAGUCAAAACCCUUAGUAUCUAGUUCUUAUCUUGAAGCCAACAGGCCCUAUGAUCUCUCUUCCUCUCUGGGUGCUGUGGUUUCCUCAUGUGCAUAAAGAAAAGGUGAGAGUCUUUGUUUUCUAAAUUUCAUCUCAUCUAUAAACUUCCCUAUAUCUAUUGCACAGGCAAAAAUACAUCUAGUAACCAUGAUUGGGGCCUCAGAACACAUUGAAUAGGUCUCCAAGAGAAGGGAAAACGUUACUUAUUUGUACCAUCAUGACAUUUAUCCCAGUUGUGUUGCUAUUUUUGCAUAUUUAGAAGCAAAUUUAGGAUUGUAUCUUCUGACUCUGCCUUGCUCUUUUGCAAGAAAUUUUAAUGAGAUAAAGUUACACUUAUUAAUCACAAACUGGAUUUGUGUGUGUGUGUGUGUGUGUGUGUGUGUGUGUGUGUGAGAUACUUUGUGAGGGUGUGAUGUCCUCUAGGUCUCCACUUCAAAGGGCAUCUUGGCCCAAUAGGAUAAAUUUCAUUCAGAGAUUUAAGUUUAUCAUCAAUCUAGUCUAUGUCUUCCUUUCUUUGUAUGUAAAGUCACUGGCCAUCAAGUUAAUUGAGAUCAUAAAAAUUAUAAAAUAAUCCAAAUGCUUAUUUUGUAAGCCAUUAGUGAUCCCAGCAAGGAGGAAUCUGUCAUGUUGAUUUUUUUAUUAGACUCUGUCUGGAAGACAAUACAAUGAAACAGACAUCCUCAUCUUUAUAAGUACAUAUUCAAACAAGUCAACACCACUCAGAAGACAAAACACUCCUUCCAAAUUACCAGUGUUUAUCUUCCACUGUGUUUCCAUUCCUACAUAUGGUAUCUUCUCUCCGACCCAAAUCUUGCUUUUUUUUAAAAAAAUUUUUUUAUUAUAGAUCACAGAUGUUGGGCUAGUAGGUUUAUAAACUAGUCCUUACUUCUGGCUUUAAAAUCAGUUCCACAUUUAUAGGACACUUUUGGAAUCGUGUAUGAACUCAAAUAUUUAUGAUUGCUGCUAACCUCAGAAUUAAAUGUUGCCUUCCCCUUAGAGCACGAGGAAGCAUUUUUUCAUUAGAUCCUGGAAACUAACUGGCUCAACUCCCCAAGAAGCUUGGGAUCAUUUAUCCUAGAAUUAUCUGGUAGUUGAGAAAACUAACAUAGACAUUGGGAAAGCCAGCCUUCCCAAAGAAAGAGUAAUGAGCAAUGAAUGGCAUGCCUCUGAUUCUGUAACUGAGCCAUUUAGGCUUAUCUCCAAAAGUUUAAGUUACAUACAAGAUAUUUUUCCUCUGUGUUUAGGACCUGGGUAAAGGAGUAGGUGUCUUUUCACCUGUGUUGGAAUAGUUUCAGAAUAAGACGUGUAUGGUGAGUUUUUACGGACUGUGUGUGACUUCCAUUUAUUGUAUUGUCUUGCUACAUUUCCUUUAUAAAGAUUUUUUGUUGUUGUUGUUGUUGUUUGGUUUUUGGCUUUUGGUUUUUUUUUUUUUUAACCAGCAAGGUAUAGGCUAAAAAGCAUGUAUUUUGAAGCCAGGUAGAACAUGUACAGAUAUCGGUACUCCCACUCUCUGCUCUAAGCCUUAAUGUUCUUAUUCAUGUGUUGACAGUGCUGCCUAACUUACCACGAUGUUGUAAGAUUGAAAGAAGGAUGUUCUAAAUGCCAUGCCUUGGAAAGGCAUAAGGUGAUGUUCAGCGGUUGCUAGUUAGAAAGCUUUCUUCCAAAAACAGUUAAUUUAAGUUUGGGCACUUAAAUGAAUAAACUUAGUGGAGUAGAAAAUUGAAAAAAAAAUGCCAUGCCUUAGAAUAUAAUAAAUGUUUACUAACUAGCAUUACUAUCAACAUAGCUAUUAUAUAUGGCUUCCAGAAAAUCAUGGUUCAAUAGUGUGUGUGUAGAGUGAGGAGAAAUGAGGGGUGUUUCACCAACUAUUGGGUUAUUAUUCUUGGUUGAGAACUUAAGUGCUUUCACAUCUGCUAUGUCAUCUCUUUCAACUACUUUUCUCAUGUACUUGGAAUAAAUGAUAUGCCUGUGGACCCACAACUAGUAAAGUAGUAGAGCCAGGAAUUAACCAAGACUUCUCAGGUCUGGAGACCGAAUGUGAAUAAGCACCACUCAGUGCACCAGGGCAUGCUUUCAUACAAUUCACAGGGCCAAAUUAGAGCCAAGAGUUGUCUGACUGAUAAAGUUUGCACAGACAAUAAAUAAUUGACAUAAACCUAUCUUAAAAUUUUUGCAAAAAAUACAUGUAUUACUGCAGGUGAAAAGAAAUUAAAAAAGAAAUUGAUAAUACAUAAAUUUCACACUUAGCUUUCAUGGUAAAUAUAUAAGUUUUUCUUUUAAAAAUCUUAAAUUCCAGGGGCACCUGGGUGGCUCAGUAGGUUGAGUGUCCGACUUUGGUUCGGGUUCAGCUCGUGGUUCUGAGCUUCGCGUUGGGCUCUGUGCUGACAGCUCGGAGCCUGGAGCCUGCUUCAGAUUCUGUGUCUCCCUCUCUCUGCCCCUAACCCACUUGCAUUCUGUCUCCAUCUCUCUCAGAAAUAAAUGAACAUUAAAAAAUUUUUAAAUCUUAAAUUUGAUAUGUACUAAGAAGCAGUAUGGCAUAAUAAUACUUGUUGGUGUAGAUUCUGAAGCCCAACUGCUGAGUGAGUGUCCUGACACCAGCUUGGCCAAGUUACUUAGGAUCUCUGUGUUUCAGCUUCCUCACCUAUAAAAUAGAGCUAAUAAUACCUACCUGACAGGUGGUUUGGAGAAUUAAAUGAAUUAUGCUACCCUUAGACAUUACUUAAGCAAGUUCUGGCCCAUUGUAAGACCUCAAUAAAUGCUAACUGAGGUUGUAAUGGGAAUAUUACCAGAAUGCUUUGGAUACACAAAAGACGGAAUUUUUUUUCUUCCUUGAAAGGUCAAAAAGGCUUUUUCUCCUCUUGAAUGCUCUUCCUUCACCUUUUCUCUGCCUGCCCACUCACUUUUGUCCCUCAAAAUCCACUCAGAUGUCAUUUUUUUCUGCAGAGCCUUCUGAUCUCCCUGUCUCUCUUCUUUACCAGAAGGAAUCACUUUAUUCUUUAUGCUACUUCUGGAUUCUGUAUCUCACCACCAUCCAUUGAAUGGUUUUUAUUUGCUUUACCUUUCAUUCUCAGCUUUGGUGAAAAUGCUACUUUGCACUGAAUAUUUAAGAUUAUCUUUUGAACAUUCUAGGAACUUAGAGUAUAAUAAAGAAAAAAUACAGAGGAAAAGGACAGAUGAAUCACAAAAAGAAAGAAUACACAAAGAAAGAAAUGGUUAUUUUUUUCAGUAAAUGAAUUUAAGAAAGCUGGAUAACCAUUUUGAAAAAAAUUGAGAAUCUCACAUCACAACUUAAAGUAAAAUAAACCUCAUUAUGAAUUUAAGAAUGUAAUAUUUGUACUGAAAAAUAAAAUGCAAGUAAAUAUCUUAUUAGGAGCUCAGGAACAAAAUUUUUCUAAGUUUACAACAAAGGAAGAAACUUUUAAAUUGCAAUUGUUAGAAUAAUAGGUAUAAUUUCUAUAUAGCAAGAAAAGAUGAAAAAACUAUAUGAAAGAUGUGAGCUGGAAAGAUAUUUUUAACAAAUACAAUAAAAUGAGCAUUAAUAACAUUGACUUACAAUAAACGAUUUAAAAUAAAUAAGAACAGACAAACUCAUGUACAAAAUCAAUAAAUAACAUAUUAAAGUUUUUAAAAUAAUAAAUAUUAAUCUCUAAUAAAGGUAUUUAAUCAAGUGUGUAAUCAAAUGUAUAAAAUUUAUCCACAUUGAGAUGUCAGUUUAAAAGAAUUUAAAUGAGUAUCUUGUUUUUUGUGGUUUUUUUUUAAAGAGUAAAGUUCAUCUUUGGCAUGAGUAUGGCCAAACAGGUCUUCCACAAAUUGUAAAUGGGGAUGUAAAUUGAUACAUCUUUUUGGACAAUAAUUUGAUAAUAGUUUAAGAAAAUUUUUCGAAAAUGUUCAUUCACCUUGAGGCAUCACCUUCACUUCUAGAACUUAUACUAAGGAAAUAAUCAGAUUUGUGUCAAAAUAUGAAUGUACAAGGACAACAGCACAGCAUUCUCUUUAUGGUGCUGUCAUCCAUAAGCAACUUUAGUAUAAAUUCUAGAGUACCCAUAUAUUUGUUUGUGUUCAUCUACAUGCCAAUAAAUACAGACCUUAAUGGCUUUUAAUGGCUGCUAACAAAGUAUUGCAAAUUUUAAAAGCUGUUAUGAAAAUAUCUCAUUUAUUAUGAUCAAAUGUUAGUAAGAAAUUUAUAUAUAUAUGUUGGGGUAGAAGAAGGGAGUUUGUAUAGAAGUGUGAAAAGGUACAUAAAGAUUAUGUGUAUAGUGGUAUUGUGAUUUUUAUCUUCUUCUCUUUAUGUGUAUAUAAGACCGUGUUGUCUAGAAUAAAUUUGCAGUGCAUUUAUAA
Felis catus (domestic cat) is the source of this 11309-nucleotide long non-coding RNA. RefSeq lists it as uncharacterized. NCBI's taxonomy places the organism in Eukaryota, Metazoa, Chordata, Mammalia, Carnivora, Felidae. The transcript has 3 exons. The record is from RefSeq and is a predicted model, not a curated record.